RNAcentral lists this ribosomal RNA (407 nucleotides) under uncultured bacterium. Its description in RNAcentral is "partial 16S ribosomal RNA". It matches the Rfam family "Bacterial small subunit ribosomal RNA", at positions 30 to 526 of the family's 1533-position model. The record is from RNAcentral.
AUUGAACGCUGGCGGCAGGCUUAACACAUGCAAGUCGAGCGGAGCGGCGGACGGGUGAGUAAUGCCUAGGAAUCUGCCCGGUAGUGGGGGAUAACGUUCGGAAACGGGCGCUAAUACUGCAUACUAUCACAUGAGCCUAGGUCGGAUUAGCUAGUGGGUGGGGUAAAGGCCUACCAAGGCGACGAUCCGUAGCUGGUCUGAGAGGAUGAUCAGUCACACUGGAACUGAGACACGGUCCAGACUCCUACGGGAGGCAGCAGUGGGGAAUAGUGGACAAUGGGCGCAAGCCUGAUGCAGCCAUGCCGCGUGUAUGAAGAAGGCCUUCGGGUUGUAAAGUACUUUCAGCGGGGAGGCGUUACCCGCAGAAGAAGCACCGGCUAACUCCGUGCCAGCCGCCGCGGUAAUAC